AUGGAGCACCAGGGACACGGCACCGGCGAGAAGAAGGGCAUCAUGGAGAACAUCAAGGAGAAGCUCCCCGGUGGCCAAGGUGACCACCAGCAGACCGCUGGCACCCACGGGCAGCAUGGACACACUGGAAUGACAGGCACGGAGAUGCAUGACACCACGGCCACCGGCGGCACCCAUGGGCAGCAGGGGCUUACCGGAACGACUGGCACUGGGACACACGGCACCGGUGAGAAGAAGAGCCUCAUGGACAAGGUGAAGGAGAAGCUGCCUGGACAGCACUAA
Molecule: ribosomal RNA, 282 nt
Filed under: Triticum aestivum (bread wheat)
Lineage: Eukaryota; Viridiplantae; Streptophyta; Magnoliopsida; Poales; Poaceae
Description: partial small subunit ribosomal RNA
Source: RNAcentral